Molecule: long non-coding RNA, 1788 nt
Organism: Lagopus leucura (white-tailed ptarmigan)
Lineage: Eukaryota; Metazoa; Chordata; Aves; Galliformes; Phasianidae
Exons: 3
Source: RefSeq, a predicted model, not a curated record
GUUCCGUUGUGUCUUGAAUUUAACCUCUCUGUGGUAAUUUCCCUUUUUUAAAAAAGUCAUUUUUAACAGAGUAUGAAAGGCCUUUCUUAAAAUAAUACUUUAUCCUUGUUGAAGCAAUAGCAUCUUUGCUAUCUCCUGCACGUAUCAUCAGGACUUCUCAGAAUGAGGAGGAAAAUCAGCAGACAAAUAGUGCCAGGCUAAAGAAUGCCAUGAAGGAUUUUGACAUGCUUUGUCCUGUCUGUGCAGGGCACACUUACAUUGCACUUGUGCAGUCUUGAUCAAAGCUUUGUUUCAAGUUGAAGGCAACUUGAGUCUGAACUAACUUCACACACUGCUAGCUUCAAGUUAUUUUUGUGAUAGGAAAAGUGAUUACUUAAGAGAUAAAAAUGCAGGGUUUGUUUCAAUUGGUCAAACCGUUUCUAUGGUUGCAGAGUGGUAUCUGAAGAUUCAGCUGAAAAAAUGUGUCUUAAAGAUGAGAAAACAGCUUAUCUGUUGCAUCCCUGCACUACAUUUGCUAGGCAGGAAUGGAGUUCCAGGCUUGAGAGGAGAUACAGCUUGAUGGUUUUGUUACUGGAUCCUUAUAAGUAACCCCUUUUCCCCAAAUAAAACUUUCUAAAAGCCAAGUCCAUCUUAACUGCUGGUGGCUUCCUUUCUUUGUUUUAUGCUGUUAACUAGGAAAGCUUUGAAGUGCCCCCAGAUAUUUAUCAGAAUAUCAUGUGACCUUUUUUUUGAAGGGGGAUCCAAGGGACCUGAAUGCAUCCUUUGGGAAGAUGACCUUCCAGGAUGCACCUAGAUCGGAAAUAUGAAAGCAGAUGCAGUGUUUGUUUUGGCUGUGUUCUGCAAGGUCACUUCACCCCAUGGCUUUUAGGAAUCCCAGAAUGGCUGGAGUGAGAAGGGACCUCCAAGUCUAUCUGGCCCAACCCCUGCCCAAAUUGGGACAUCCAGAACAGGGCACCCAGGCUCAUGGCCAGGCAGCUUCUGAAGAUCACCAAGGAGAGGACCCCACAGCUUCUCUGGGCAGUCUGUACCAGUGCUCUGUCACAUGCAGGGUGAAGUGCUGGCUGGUGUUCAGAGGGAACCUCCUGUCCUCCAAUUUAAUGCUAUCUCUGUUUUAAGAAAACUAGUAGCUUAGCACCAUGUGCACAUUUGUCUCCAUGGCGGGUGCUCAUCUUAAGUUCAGUGUUCAAGAGUGUGCUGUUCUCUGGACCACUCACUGCUGUUAAUUCUUCCACAUGGGUCAGCUGGAUCCCAGGUCAGCAUGAAGUCAUUUCUCCUGCACACAAAAUGAAAGUCAGUCUAUUUAUGUGUACCAUCAGCAGCUGGAAAGCACCAAUGUUUUAUCUCUUGUCACUCGUUACAAAUAAAUCAUAUCCUUCUUCAAAAUUGCCAUGCAGAAUAGAUAUCAAGGAUUUGUAUGAUAUUGUUCAGUGUUUAGAAAAUAUUUAAUCAUCACUGUAGGGUACAAUUUGCAUUAUUCCCAUUUUUCAUGCCAACAUGAUUUGUAUGGCAGCCAAUGUAUGCUGAUUAGUCAAAUUUCCCUAAUUAAUUUUUGUCAAUGUGUUGUCCUAACAUGACUUGAAAUGUACAGCUUAUUUUAUUAAAUGUAUUAAAACUGCUUCUGCUUUCCACUGUAUACCAGGGAAUAAUUUGCUACCAACAGCAUUUACAACAAUUUUUAAACGCACGUAUUCUAAUUAAAGUGAACAUCCAACACGUUGGCCAAGGGUGAGUCAUACUUUGUAAUAGCUCUAUGGGGAAGAAGGUUGGAGUUAUGUGUUCUUUCAAAGC